AACAAUAUUCAUUCUUAGGUGAAAAUGAUUGUAUAAUUCAAAAUGGUUUCAACAUUUUUGUGUAGGAAUACAUACUCUUGAGGAUGUUAAUAGAAAAAUAAAAAGAAGUCUCAUAGAAGAUGAGUAUGAGAAUUGGUAAAGAGUUAGCUUGUUUACUGUCAUUCAGUAGCUUUGACUAAAAAAUUUUGCUGUUUCUAAAAGUUGUUGAGUCAUGGUUUGGGGGGAUUUUUUUGUUUUUUGCAGUACUGGAGAUUUAACCCAGGGCCUUGGACACAUGGGAGGCAAGGGCUUUACCACAGAGCUACAUCCCCAGCCCUUUUUAAAGUUUAUUUUUGAGACAGGAUCUCAGUUGCCCAGGUCCUCUCAGACUCUUGCAGCUGGAGUUACAGUGAACUUUGCUGCUCACAUCAUUCGACAACUGUCUCUGAAAGGUUUCAAGUGUCCAAGAGUCUGUGGCUUGGUCUGCCCUUAGUUUCAUGGAGGAAACCAAUCAAGGU
Molecule: long non-coding RNA, 497 nt
Filed under: Fukomys damarensis (Damara mole-rat)
Lineage: Eukaryota; Metazoa; Chordata; Mammalia; Rodentia; Bathyergidae
Description: lncRNA (ENSFDAG00000029230.1)
Source: RNAcentral